Molecule: ribosomal RNA, 506 nt
Filed under: uncultured bacterium
Lineage: Bacteria
Description: partial 16S ribosomal RNA
Rfam family: Bacterial small subunit ribosomal RNA
Source: RNAcentral
AGUGAACGCUGGCGGUAGGCCUAACACACGCAAGUCGAACGGCAGCACAGGAGAGCUUGCUCUCUGGGUGGCGAGUGGCGGACGGGUGAGGAAUACAUCGGAAUCUACUUUUUCGUGGGGGAUAACGUAGGGAAACUUACGCUAAUACCGCAUACGACCUACGGGUGAAAGCAGGGGACCUUCGGGCCUUGCGCGAUUGAAUGAGCCGGUGUCGGAUUAGCUAGUUGGCGGGGUAAGGGCCCACCAAGGCGACGAUCCGUAGCUGGUCUGAGAGGAUGAUCAGCCACACUGGAACUGAGACACGGUCCAGACUCCUACGGGAGGCAGCAGUGGGGAAUAUUGGACAAUGGGCGCAAGCCUGAUCCAGCCAUACCGCGUGGGUGAAGAAGGCCUUCGGGUUGUAAAGCCCUUUUGUUGGGAAAGAAAUCCAGCUGGCUAAUACCCGGUUGGGAUGACGGUACCCAAAGAAUAAGCACCGGCUAACUUCGUGCCAGCCGCCGCCGUAA